This 810-nucleotide ribosomal RNA is filed under the name Penicillium griseofulvum. Its description in RNAcentral is "eukaryotic LSU rRNA". It matches the Rfam family "Eukaryotic large subunit ribosomal RNA", at positions 97 to 925 of the family's 3401-position model. The record is from RNAcentral. Lineage: Eukaryota; Fungi; Ascomycota; Eurotiomycetes; Eurotiales; Aspergillaceae.
AGCGGCAAGAGCUCAAAUUUGAAAGCUGGCUCCUUCGGGGUCCGCAUUGUAAUUUGUAGAGGAUGCUUCGGGAGCGGUCCCCAUCUAAGUGCCCUGGAACGGGACGUCAUAGAGGGUGAGAAUCCCGUAUGGGAUGGGGUGUCCGCGCCCGUGUGAAGCUCCUUCGACGAGUCGAGUUGUUUGGGAAUGCAGCUCUAAAUGGGUGGUAAAUUUCAUCUAAAGCUAAAUAUUGGCCGGAGACCGAUAGCGCACAAGUAGAGUGAUCGAAAGAUGAAAAGCACUUUGAAAAGAGAGUUAAAAAGCACGUGAAAUUGUUGAAAGGGAAGCGCUUGCGACCAGACUCGCUCGCGGGGUUCAGCCGGCAUUCGUGCCGGUGUACUUCCCCGCGGGCGGGCCAGCGUCGGUUUGGGCGGUCGGUCAAAGGCCCUCGGAAGGUAACGCCCCUAGGGGCGUCUUAUAGCCGAGGGUGCAAUGCGACCUGCCUAGACCGAGGAACGCGCUUCGGCUCGGACGCUGGCAUAAUGGUCGUAAGCGACCCGUCUUGAAACACGGACCAAGGAGUCUAACAUCUACGCGAGUGUUCGGGUGUCAAACCCGUGCGCGAAGUGAAAGCGAACGGAGGUGGGAACCCUUACGGGUGCACCAUCGACCGAUCCUGAAGUCUUCGGAUGGAUUUGAGUAAGAGCGUAGCUGUUGGGACCCGAAAGAUGGUGAACUAUGCCUGAAUAGGGCGAAGCCAGAGGAAACUCUGGUGGAGGCUCGUAGCGGUUCUGACGUGCAAAUCGAUCGUCGAAUUUGGGUAUAGGGGCG